This 413-nucleotide long non-coding RNA is filed under the name Pan troglodytes (chimpanzee). RNAcentral's name for it is "long non-coding RNA NONPTRT010618". The record is from RNAcentral. Lineage: Eukaryota; Metazoa; Chordata; Mammalia; Primates; Hominidae.
GCUGUGGAAGCUGGAGGACUAGGUUGUCCCAGAGUCCCGUACCCCUGGGGAUCCAGGAAGUUACACUGAGGUGAGGCCAACUGCUCUGUGUGUGGAAGCCAGAGAAGAAAGCAGCACAGAACAGAUGCAAACCAAGGAGGCUGGAAGAUAAGAGCAGAGCCAUCAGGACCCGAGCCCCUCGGGGGUAUGAAACAGGAGUCGUGGGAGCAAAUUACAUUUCAGAGCUUCCUGUGUGCAGCAUGGAUCUAAAGCUGGUGGAUGCAGGGGGGUGAAAAAGACAACAUCUUCACUUCCUGCAUGCUGAUGGCGGAAGUGAGACAUCAGCGAAGAAACAUCACGAUCACCAAAUUAUGAUGAACACCAUGGAGGAAACAAAGGACACUGUGACACCAAGGAAGGAAGGGAGGUUACUU